Molecule: small nuclear RNA, 150 nt
Organism: Lycium ferocissimum
Lineage: Eukaryota; Viridiplantae; Streptophyta; Magnoliopsida; Solanales; Solanaceae
Product: U4 spliceosomal RNA
Exons: 1
Source: RefSeq, a predicted model, not a curated record
AUCUUUGCGCUUGGGGCAAUGACGCAGCUAGUGAGGUACUAACCGAGGCGCGUCAAUUGCUGGUUGAAAAACUAUUCCAAACCCCCUCUUUGGCCUGGGUUCUGCCCUGGCCAUUGAAAGAACGAAAGGGCUUCCCCUUGGGGUAAAGCC